This 409-nucleotide ribosomal RNA is filed under the name uncultured bacterium. RNAcentral describes it as "bacterial SSU rRNA". It matches the Rfam family "Bacterial small subunit ribosomal RNA", at positions 355 to 776 of the family's 1533-position model. The record is from RNAcentral.
UGGGGAAUAUUGCGCAAUGGACGAAAGUCUGACGCAGCGACGCCGCGUGAGGGAUGAAGGUCUUCGGAUUGUAAACCUCUUUCAGCAGGGACGAAGCGAAAGUGACGGUACCUGCAGAAGAAGCACCGGCUAACUACGUGCCAGCAGCCGCGGUAAUACGUAGGGUGCAAGCGUUGUCCGGAUUUAUUGGGCGUAAAGAGCUCGUAGGCGGUUUGACACGUCGGAUGUGAAAACUCGGAGCUUAACUCCGAGCCUGCAUUCGAUACGGUCUAACUAGAGUGUGGUAGGGGAAACUGGAAUUCCUGGUGUAGCGGUGAAAUGCGCAGAUAUCAGGAGGAACACCAAUGGCGAAGGCAGGUUUCUGGGCCACCACUGACGCUGAGGAGCGAAAGCGUGGGGAGCGAACAGG